CAGUCGCCACGGUAAUACGUAGGGUGCGAGCGUUAAUCGGAAUUACUGGGCGUAAAGCGUGCGCAGGCGGUUGUGUAAGACAGGUGUGAAAUCCCCGGGCUUAACCUGGGAACUGCGCUUGUGACUGCACAGCUAGAGUAUGGCAGAGGGGGGUGGAAUUCCACGUGUAGCAGUGAAAUGCGUAGAGAUGUGGAGGAAUACCGGUGGCGAAGGCGGCCCCCUGGACAAAGACUGACGCUCAGGUGCGAAAGCGUGGGGAGCAAACAGGAUUAGAUACCCCGGUAGUCCCUGUCUCUUAUAA
Molecule: ribosomal RNA, 301 nt
Filed under: uncultured bacterium
Lineage: Bacteria
Description: partial 16S ribosomal RNA
Rfam family: Bacterial small subunit ribosomal RNA
Source: RNAcentral